RNAcentral lists this ribosomal RNA (578 nucleotides) under uncultured bacterium. Its description in RNAcentral is "bacterial SSU rRNA". It matches the Rfam family "Bacterial small subunit ribosomal RNA", at positions 338 to 916 of the family's 1533-position model. The record is from RNAcentral.
CCUACGGGAGGCAGCAGUGAGGAAUAUUGGUCAAUGGGCGCAAGCCUGAACCAGCCAUCCCGCGUGCAGGAUGACGGCCCUAUGGGUUGUAAACUGCUUUUAUACACCAAGAAAAAUCCCGACGUGUCGGGACCCGACGGUAGUGUAUGAAUAAGCAUCGGCUAACUCCGUGCCAGCAGCCGCGGUAAUACGGAGGAUGCAAGCGUUAUCCGGAUUCAUUGGGUUUAAAGGGUGCGUAGGCGGCUUUUUAAGUCAGUGGUGAAAUCCUGCCGCUUAACGGUAGAAUUGCCAUUGAUACUGACAAGCUUGAGUACAUUUGAGGUAAGCGGAAUGUGUAGUGUAGCGGUGAAAUGCUUAGAUAUUACACAGAACACCAAUUGCGAAGGCAGCUUACUAAACUGAUACUGACGCUGAUGCACGAAAGCGUGGGGAGCGAACAGGAUUAGAUACCCUGGUAGUCCACGCCGUAAACGAUGCUCACUCGCUGUUUGCGAUACACAGCAAGCGGCCAAGCGAAAGCAUUAAGUGAGCCACCUGGGGAGUACGAUCGCAAGGUUGAAACUCAAAGGAAUUGACGG